UACAAGGUCUCCGUAGGUGAACCUGCGGAGGGAUC
RNAcentral lists this ribosomal RNA (35 nucleotides) under Pezicula eucrita. RNAcentral's name for it is "partial 18S ribosomal RNA". The record is from RNAcentral. RNAcentral also lists the same sequence under 1 other name. Lineage: Eukaryota; Fungi; Ascomycota; Leotiomycetes; Helotiales; Dermateaceae.